AGCUCCUCAUCUUCAGUUUUUUUUCUCAAAUGCUCUUCUCUUAAAAAUGAAUUUAAUUUUGAAUUAUUUUAAAUCUAAAAAGGAGAGAAAUACUUUGGCACCCCUUAGAAAUUGAAUUUAUUACCAACCCAACCAACCAAAACGGGUAAAAAAAUAUCCGAAUUCUAUGUAAUCGGGUCAAACCUUUAAAUAAUUAAAUUGACAGAUUUUUUUCUUCUUCUUUCAUCGUUGUCUUCCUCCUCUUCUUAGUCUUUUUUUUCUCCUUAUUGUUGAACUUGGGAUAACUACAUACAACUUCUUUAUUUGCAUAAGUUGGUAAAAUUCGUGUCGAUCUAUUUCUCCAAUUUGAGUUUAUGCAAAGGAGUAAUGGCUCGAACAAAUAACCCAACUGUAUCGAAUCCUACAGAACCAGAUAAAAUCCUUGAAGCAUCAGAGAGGCACCACCCAAGUGUAUUUUGAUUCAACAAAUUCAAUCUCUCGCGGAGAUUCAACGGUCAAAUUCAGAUGUUCAAGGAAGCGGAGAAGAACAACAUGAAGAGAGGAUGUACAAUAGGUGGAGAACCCGAAAUGGGAGAAAAUAAAAAGAACGAGAAGGAGAAAAAAUUCCAGUAAAGACUUGUGACGAUGUAGAAAAACCAAGUGAAGGAGACAGUAAAAGGGUGAAGCGUACAAGCAAAAAUGCAAAGAAGGGGUCUAUUGUUGUGUUUAUGAGUCCUAUUGGAACAAAGCAUAAGAAGAUUUAAGUACUUUAUGAGUCAGUUUAUGAGAACUCCAUGUGUUGUUUUUGUUUUUGUCAACAUGAUUUGGUUGUUUUUUAAUUUUUGGUAUAACUGCGCAGUUUGUUAAACU
Long non-coding RNA from Arabidopsis lyrata subsp. lyrata, 849 nucleotides. RefSeq lists it as uncharacterized. The transcript has 3 exons. The record is from RefSeq and is a predicted model, not a curated record. Lineage: Eukaryota; Viridiplantae; Streptophyta; Magnoliopsida; Brassicales; Brassicaceae.